Molecule: ribosomal RNA, 308 nt
Filed under: uncultured archaeon
Lineage: Archaea
Description: bacterial SSU rRNA
Rfam family: Archaeal small subunit ribosomal RNA
Source: RNAcentral
CGGAUUGGUAAAUUUUCUGUGAAAUCAGUUGGCUCAACCAAUUGGCGUGCAGGAAACACUGCCAGUCUAGAGACCAGGAGGAGUGAAAGGUAUUCUGAGGGGAGCGGUAAAAUGUGAUAAUCCUUGGAAGACCACCGAUGGCGAAAGCAUUUCACUAGAAUGGAUCUGACGGUCAGGGACGAAGGCUAGGGGAGCAAAACGGAUUAGAUACCCGAGUAGUCCUAGCUGUAAACGCUGUAUGCAAGGUGUUGCGUAUUCUUGAGAAUUCGCAGUAUCGAAGAGAAGUCGUUAAGCAUACCGCCUGGGAA